CCUACGGGAGGCAGCAGUGAGGAAUAUUGGUCAAUGGGCGCGAGCCUGAACCAGCCAAGUAGCGUGAAGGAUGACUGCCCUACGGGUUGUAAAUUUCUUUUAUAAAGGAAUAAAGUGAGGCACGUGUGCCUUUUUGUAUGUACUUUAUGAAUAAGGAUCGGCUAACUCCGUGCCAGCAGCCGCGGUAAUACGGAGGGUGCGAGCGUUAAUCGGAAUUAUUGGGCGUAAAGAGGUCGUAGGCGGUAUGUCAAGUCAAGGGUGAAAUCCCCGCGCUCAACGGGGGAACUGCCUUUGAUACUGGCAGACUGGAGUGUGUGAGAGGUUAGUGGAAUUCCAGGUGUAGGGGUGAAAUCCGUAGAUAUCUGGAGGAACAUCAGUGGCGAAGGCGACUAUCUGGCACGUAACUGACGCUGAGGAGCGAAAGCGUGGGUAGCAAACAGGAUUAGAUACCCUAGUAGUC
RNAcentral lists this ribosomal RNA (460 nucleotides) under uncultured bacterium. RNAcentral describes it as "partial 16S ribosomal RNA". It matches the Rfam family "Bacterial small subunit ribosomal RNA", at positions 338 to 795 of the family's 1533-position model. The record is from RNAcentral.